Molecule: RNA transcript, 4934 nt
Organism: Paramormyrops kingsleyae
Lineage: Eukaryota; Metazoa; Chordata; Actinopteri; Osteoglossiformes; Mormyridae
Gene: pds5b
Gene name: PDS5 cohesin associated factor B
Source: RefSeq, a predicted model, not a curated record
AGCUGCUAAUGACAGAUGUUAAUCUGACUGUUGUUUUUGGUGAAUUUCUGAUGGUGGUGAAGACCUUCAUAGACACGGGCCAGGACUCAGAGGAGGAGAAGGAGCGUUAUCUCCAAUUGGCGUUUCACCUGGCUUCCGACUUCCUCCUCAAGCACCCAGACAAGGAUGUGCGGCUGCUGGUAGCCUGUGGCCUGGCCGACAUCUUCCGCAUCUACAGACCCGAUGCACGCUAUACCUCUCCCGAGAAGCUCAAGGAUAUAUUCAUGUUCAUCACUCAGCAGCUGACAGGACUUGAGGACACAAAAAGUGUGCAGUUCAACCAAUACUUUUAUCUGCUUGAGAACAUUGCCUGGGCGAAGUCCUACAACAUCUGCUUCGAGCUUGAGGACAGCAAUGAGAUCUUUACUCAGCUCUAUAAGACAUUGUUCCAAGUGAUUAACAACAGCCACGAGCAGAAAGUACAGAUACACAUGGUGGAGGUGAUGAGAUCCAUCAUCUGUGAUGGGGACACCGUGUCCCAGGAGCUGCUGGACACUGUGCUGGUUAACCUGGUGCCGGGCCGCAAGAAGCUCCACAAGCAGCCCUAUGAGCUGGCCAAAGCCCUGCUGAAGAGGACUGCCCAGGCCAUCGAGCCCUGCAUCACCAAUUUCUUUACCCGGGUGCUGAUGCUGGGCGAGCCGUCCGUGAGCCACCUCUCAGAGCACGUCCUUGACCUCAUCCUGGAGCUCUACAGCAUCGACAGUCGCCUUAUCUUCCCCGUGCUCCCCCAGCUUGAGCUCAAGCUAAAGAGCUGUGACAGCGACCAGCGCCUUCAGGUCGUCAAGCUUCUGACCAAAAUGUUCGGAGCAAAAGAAUCCGAACUGGCAACACAGAACAAGUCCCUUUGGCAAUUCUUUCUUGGAAGGUUCAAUGACAUCCAUGUUCCUGUUCGACUGGAGUGUGUGGAAUUUGCCAGCCUCUGCCUCAUCAACCAUCCAGACCUUGCCAAAGAUCUCACAGACCACCUAAGGGGUCGGUCACAUGACCCCGAAGAGGCCAUCCGGCACAACGUCAUUGUGUCGAUUGUGACCGCUGCCAAGAAGGACCUGGCCCUCGUCAAUGACCACCUGCUGAGUUUUGUGCGUGAAAGGACCCUGGACAAGAAGUGGAGGGUGCGUAAGGAGGCAAUGAUGGGCCUUGCGCAGAUCUACAGGAAGUACGCACUGCAAGGGGAAGCGGGGAGAGAAGCUGUCGAGCGGAUCUCCUGGAUCAAGAAUAAGCUGCUGCACAUCUACUACCAGAAGAGCAUGGAGGACAGGGUGCUUGUCGAGCAGAUCUUUGCCCAGUACAUGGUGCCACACAGUCUGGAAAUAACCGAGAAGAUGAAGUGCCUCUACUACCUGUAUGCAGCGCUGGAUGUCAAUGCCGUCAAGGCUCUAAACGAGAUGUGGAAAUGUCAGAGUGUCCUGCGGCGUCACGUUAAAGACCUGCUGGACCUGCUCGAUAAGCCCAAAUCAGAAACAUGUAGCAAAGCUGUUUUUUUCAAAGUCAUGGUCAUCACGAGGAACCUGCCGGCCCUGGGCAGGACCAAGGACUUUGUGAAGAAGUUGGCCCAGCUCCUAGAGGAGGACGUCAAGAUCCGGAAACAGCUGGAGACGGUGGUCAGCCCAUGCUGCUCCCGCCAGCAGGCCGAGGGCUGUGUGAGAGACAUCUCCAAGGCCCUGGAACAUCCUGCACAGUACAGCAGCCCUUUUGCGGAGAUGGUGACAUUCCUGUUGGGCAGAAUCGCACCGGUUCACAUCGAUGCAGAGUCCAUCAGCGCCCUGAUCAAGCAGGUGAACCGCUCUAUACACGGAACAGCAGAUGAUGAAGAUGAGGGUGUGUCCACAGAACAAGCCGUCAGGGGCGGUUUGCAGCUACUGAAGGUUCUGUCCUUCACGCACUCCAUGUCCUUCCACUCGGCUGAGACCUUCGAGUCGCUGCUGGACUGCAUGAAGAUGGGUGACGAGAUGGUGGCUGAGGCGGCCCUGCAGAUUUUCAGGAACACGGGUGGAGGGAUAGAGGAGAGCUUCCCACACCUCAAACAGGCCCUCCUGCCAUUACUGCAGCAGAAAGCAAUGAAGGGGCUGCCUCGACAGGCCAAGCUCGCAGUUCACUGCAUCCACACCAUCUUCUCCAACAGAGAUGCACAGUUUGCGCAGAUAUUUGAGCCUCUGCACCAGGCCCUGGAUGCUGGCAGCCCCGAGCAGCUCAUCACGCCCCUCAUCACCCUCGGCCACCUGGCCAUGCUGGACCCCGGGCAGUUCAGCAGCUCACUGAGGUCCCUGGUGGCAAACUUUGUCAUCAAGGAGCUGCUCAUGAACGACCGGAUUCCUGGGAAGAAGGCAGCCAAGCUGCGGCCGGCCCACGAUGAACUUUCUCCCUUAACCCUGGCGAAGAUUCAGGGCAUCAAACUGAUGGUGAGGUGGCUGCUGGGAAUGAAAAAUGAUCAGAGUGAGUGGGCCAACUCCAUCCUGAAGGUGCUGAUGGCCGUCAUGAAGGGCGGCGGGGACCUGACCGGUGUGGGCAGGCUGAGGAAGCUGGACAUGUCGAGGCUGCGUCUGGCCGCGGGCUGCGGCGUGCUGAAGCUGGCACAGGAGCCCUGCUACCAGGAGAUCGUCACACGGGAGCAAUACCGGCUCUGCGCGCUCCUCAUCAAUGACGAAUGUGUCCAGGUACGCCAGGCCUUCACCCAGAAGCUGCACAGCGCCCUCCGGAGGCUGCGGCUCCCCCUACAGUACAUGGCCAUAUUUGCCCUGUGCGCCAAGGACCCUGUGAGGGAACACCAGGCUCAUGCCCGCCAGUGCUUCCUCAGGAACGUCCACGUCCGCAGGCAGUACCUGAGGCAGCACGCCCCCCUCAGCGGGAAGCUGCACUCCCUCCUGCCAGAGUACGUGGUACCGUACACCAUUUACCUGCUUGCUCACGACCCAGACUACGUCACAGCACAGGACACUAAGCAGCUGAAAGGAAUCAGGGAGUGCUUGCGGUUUGUUUUUGAGAUCCUAAUGGUGAAAAAGGAGAACAACAGUCUCACGUUCAUCCGGAAGUUGGUGGAGAACAUUAAAUGGGCGAAAUGGGGCCAGACACCAGAUGACCCCAAGACAAAUGAGAAACUGCACACCGUGUGUAACGUAGCCAUGAGCAUCAUCUCGAGGAGCAACACCUACAGCCAGGAAGUGGCCAAAGGUCCCGCCCUGCCUGCCAGAAACUUCCGCCAUGCUGACACGAAUAUCAGCAGUACGAAGAGUCACCCUCCUCCGGAAAUGAAGUCCUUUAUCAAUCUGGGAAAGACUCCCUCUCUUUCACCAUGGCCCAGUUGUCCAUCCUCCCCACCCCCACAGCCUAGAACCGCAAGCAUCCUUGGGGCAGUAAACAAGACCGUACCCGCCACAGCCAAGCAGCCGCACACCAAGCCGCCCUGGACAGAGACGGUGUGCAGUGACAGCUCCCUGGGCUGGCACCAAACCUGGGUGAAGCACUGUGAGUACAAUGAAGUCUCCUCUGUGAAGACCUCUCUGGUGCCAGGAACGCAGAGCAACUGGAGAGCUAGAGAUGACUCCGUCCUGCUCAGGGGUGGGGAGAAGCUGCAGUGUCUCAAGCGAAGAGCAGCUACUGGGGAGGGGGACAAGAAUGUGGGCUGGACUUUGAGGCCUAAGUGUGUCCAUAGGAGGGCUGUCAGCGCUGGAGUGACAGACUCCAGAUUCCAGGCAGGAGAAGUCCAGGCAACAUCAGCCGCUCUGGAGCCGGGGGAAGAGCAGAACAGCCCUGCCAAGAGGGGCCGGAGAGGCCACACCCCCGGGGCCGCCUCUCUCAGGUGUGGGGCACUUACUGAGAUGGGUCAUAAAAAGCCCAGCCCUCUCACAGAGGUGGAAGAGGAUGACGAUGAUGAGGAGCUACCUCCAGCUCAGACCAGUAAUUGGCUCCAUUUCACCGCUGGCUACGCUGAUGAGCUCGUUGGUGCGUGUACAGCAGUCACCUCCCAGUGUUCCCUGCACGGGGUCCUCGUGCACCACCUGCAUGCCAAGUAUUCUCCUCCCUGCAGUAUCUACCUCACUGAAAUAAUGUGCAUAUUCAUGUUAAGUUCCUCCUUAUUUAAAAGCUUCUUUGUCAUCUUCUGCCUCUUCUGGUGGCAUGCUGACACUGUUUAGACUGGUGAACAUAUUUCUAGGAAGUAAUUAGUCCUUCUUGCAAGCAGAGCGGCUAUAAAUCAUUGUGUAGCAAUGGAAAAAAUCACAGCUUCUAAAGCUAUUACUGAAUAUUGUGAAGACCUGUAAAUGUCCUGUUCCGGGUUCGAGAGCGCGGACCCCCCAGCUAGCUCGACCAACACUUGAUCAAUGCAUGGAGCUACAGUGAAGGGCAGUACGUCUGCCUCCAGCACAGAGGCAUUCGAGGUCACAGAUGAUUUAAUGCAAGGGGAGCGCCCCGAGUCAGCCCAGCAGCCAGCCAAGUAAAAUGUGCAAGUGUCACCUAAGCUUGUUUUUGUGCCUGUUGUAAUGUGUGUACAUCUAUUUUCUGUGAGUUUGUAAAGCCUGAUCUAGACCAUUCUGUACCAGCAUGUAGCUCUCAAUCUGCUUUUGACUGUAGGUCAUUCAAACUUUGACUCUGGGUAAGACUGACUAUCCUAUCUAGCUCUCCCUUUGACUCUUGGUUUAACUCUGACUCUCCUUUUGACUCUGGGUCAGACUCUGACUAUCUUAUUCCAAAUCUGAUGCUCCUUUUGACUCAGUCUUUGCUUUUACCUCUAAAUCUGACUCUCACUGUCAGAUGCAGUGGUCGCUUCAAGACAGCAGGGGGUGAAGAAAUCAAUUUUGGGUAUGCGAGAAGCAUGGAUGAUGACAAUGAGGAAGCGGGGUGUAGCAUACCCAAAAUCCAAGAAACACCAGGCAGGAGGGACCGAAGCUGAACAUGAGCAU